This is a long non-coding RNA of Wyeomyia smithii (pitcher-plant mosquito), 1423 nucleotides long. RefSeq lists it as uncharacterized. The transcript is spliced from 3 exons. The record is from RefSeq and is a predicted model, not a curated record. Lineage: Eukaryota; Metazoa; Arthropoda; Insecta; Diptera; Culicidae.
AAAACAUUUGUAAUAGAUUUGUCACUAACUUCAGUAGCCACCGUCAUGUUUUCAUCGCUCAGCUUAUUCUAUAAAUAACUCACCAUUAUCAAUAUUUCAAAUUCAAUCUUCAUAUAAUUAUAAUGGUCAUACAACCUCAUCGCGAAUCCGCACAGUUGCCUACUGGGCAACCUGCAGAAAAAGUUCUAACGGUUUUUGUUAGCAACUUAAACUGUCCAGCAACAUCUACUGGUACACCUGAAUAACAAUCGCUCAAGAGAAGAAAGAUUUCAUGCUGUUAACCAUCCCCCAAUAAUCAAGAAGCGUUUGAUUGUCUUAUCUGCAAAUUGAUCCGGACUUGGGAGUCUAAUUUUCGCUCCUGAGCAAUGGUUACUUCUUGGUGCAAUUUACACAUGCCACAACAGCGAGUCAACCGACGUUUUUAUCAGGAUUAAUCCAUCAAACGCAGUAUAUUGCACAUUUUCUCCAUGAUCGGUUCUCUUUUAUUGGUAUAAAUCAAUUUAACCUUUUAACACACUUUUGCUUAUCAGGGGAAACCGCAUUUUUUUAUUAUUAUUUUAAAGUUUUUCUUCUUUCUGUCUGACAGAUCGAAUUGUAACGAGGCAAUUUUCUCGACUGCGUCGUUCAUAGCCGACGAUCAAGUUGAGCCGUGAGUCGCAGCUGCUGUCGGAUAACACAAGUCGCCGUUGGCCUGUCAGAACGGCAUUUCUUUGAUAACUUCAUCAAAGGCAAGGCCGACCUUCGUUUCAGCGAGCCCUCUUUCAUGAUUUACUUAAUCAGGCUUACGUUUAAAUUUAUACAAGAGUCAAACAGUACUCAAUGGUGUCUGUCAAAAAAAUAUCACUUAGUGAUCUACCCUAAAUCACAACAAACGGGACUGAAGAAUGUGAUACUUCAACUAAUGAACGCAGUCAAAUUUUAUCAAGAGCACAGCUCUAAUAUUUCAUUAUACUCAAAGAGGCCAUCUUCAGGCGGUUCGACAGUAUACAACGAGCGAUAAACGUGAUUUUUCUCUACCAACAAUUUUACCAACAACUCAUGGGGUGACAUCCGAUGCUUCAUCAGCACAAACUGAUAGUUUUCAUAGUCGUAGGUGAUUGUGGUGCAGUGCAGCUCCAGGUCAGAUGCUAUUCUGGAAUGACGAUGGAGGUAGGAUAAACGAUGAGACGAUAGAUCAACAACGAAACUGCUACAAACUCGAACUAACGUCAGCAGACGUUUAUUUUGUAACUCCAUAUUGAAAACCUCGCAAUUGAAAAAAGUGCAUUUCUAGUAAAUGAUACCCUAGAAUUAACUGUUUCUACACUACAAAUUUUAGCAAUUGUAUAAAAGAACUGCUGCAUUUUUAACAAGAGAACAAUAUUGACCAGUAGUGACAGCUAUAAAAUUAAAACUCAUAAGCCAAAAUUUGUUUUACUUACUU